GAUGAACGCUGGCGGCGUGCCUAAUACAUGCAAGUCGAGCGAACAGACGAGGAUCUUGCUCCUCUGACGUUAGCGGCGGGGGGGUGAGUAACACGUGUAUAACCCACCUAUAAGACUGGGAUAACUUCGGGAAACCGGAGCUAAUACCGGAGAAGAUAUUGAACCGCAUGGGUGAAUGGUGAAAGACGGUGUUUCUGGCACUUAUAGAGGGAUCCGCGCCGCAUUAGCUAGUUGGUAAGGUAACGGGUUACGAAGGCGACGCUGCGUAGGCGCACUGCGUGGGUGGUCAGCCAGCCUGGAAGUGAGACACGGCCCAGUCUCAUAGGGGUGCCACCCGUAGGGCAUCUUGCGGAAUGGGCGAAAGCCUGACGGAGCAACGCCGCGUGCUUAAUGAAGGUCUUCGGGUCGUAAAACUCUGUUAUUAGGGAGGAACACGUGUGUAAGUAACUCUGCGCGUGUUGACGGUACCUGAUCAGAAAGCCACGGCUAACUUCGUG
Molecule: ribosomal RNA, 497 nt
Filed under: uncultured bacterium
Lineage: Bacteria
Description: partial 16S ribosomal RNA
Rfam family: Bacterial small subunit ribosomal RNA
Source: RNAcentral